Molecule: long non-coding RNA, 3085 nt
Organism: Metopolophium dirhodum (rose-grain aphid)
Lineage: Eukaryota; Metazoa; Arthropoda; Insecta; Hemiptera; Aphididae
Exons: 6
Source: RefSeq, a predicted model, not a curated record
CAACAUAGUAAAUUUACGUUUAGCAGAACCAACCCUGUCUCAUUACUUUUAAUAUUAAAGUGAAUUCACUUAUUACCAAAUUUUAAGUCAAGAAUAUUACCCGUGUCUCUAAGUUAUUUAUUGUAUGAUAUUUUAAUUCGUAUGUAAGUUAUGAGCGUGUAUAUUAUUACAAUUUGAAAAUGCUUAUAAAUCGUAUACAAAUUAAACUAUCGUAAAAAAGGCCACUGUGGGGACACGGGUAAUGUAUGCUUAGCUUAAAGUUUGAUGGUGAAAUAAGAUGAAUUCACUCUAACAUUAAAAUUAACAACACAAGGGUUCUGUUAAACAUAAAUGUUCUAUGUCGAGCGUGGGUCAGAGAGAGAGAGAGAGAAAACAAAUGGUGCAUGAAUAGCGAAGACUCAAGACUAGAGAAAAUCUAUUGAUCUAGAUAAUAGCUAGUAUGGAUAUCUAUUCUCUUCAACAUUCAUGUCUAUAAGCCAUAGAGUUAAGCAACUUAAUGAUACGCAUGACCCCUGCAGAAAUACUACCGCACCCAAUCAUAAGUUAUAACAGUGUCAUGACACCGUCCGCCACUCAGGCUCACUGCUCAGUCGCUCAGAUAAUCGGUAGUGGAAUAAUGUUAGUUGUUACAUAUUGCUGAAUGUCGUUUGUGCUUAAUGGCGUUUUUGUGCAUUUUUUACUUCUCUAGUAUACAAUAUUAUUAUAAGCAUUGAUUUUAAAAUAUUUUAAAAUCAAUGUUAUUAGUAAGUUGCUACUCGAUAUAAUUGUUGGUUAACAUUUUAUUAAAUUACAUUGAUUUUUAUUUACGAACAUGGAUACAUCCGGAGCUAUAUCUCUGGUUGCUAUUGCUUUAUCAGUUGGUUUGGCAAUAUUCAAUGAAUGGGACACAAUUGUAGAAAUAUUUAGUGAAUUAUCAGGAAACAGACCGAUGGCCGCAGGCGAGUUAAGUCACGAAGUGUUAGAAACAUUGCGACGAGAAAGAGAAGCAGAAGAACAAAGUAUAAAAGAAAAGAUAAAAAAAUAAAGACAACAUCAAAUGCCAUCAGAAGACGAUAAACCUUUAAAAUAUAAGUGUGUUUUCACGGAAGUAACAAAAGAAAACAGUCCUCACUCCUGAUGCAGCAAAUUAAGUUUAUUCAUCGCCAAAACAAAAAUUAAUUAUCAAAGGUACGGGUACCAGAAGAGCACUAAACCGUUGAAAAAGUCUGCUAGUGGUAGGAACAAACAUUUUUUAGUAAACAGUAAACAGUUUUGACAUAAAAUUAUCGCCCAAAACAGUUUUUAGUAUAAUAUCGUUUAUUCUCGAGUUAUUCUAACUUAUAUCAUUGAUUAUAAUUUUAUUAUUUAAAUUUUUUAAUUUUUAUUUAUAUUUAUACUUAUGUGUUGUGUUGCAGGCUACAAAAUAUCAGUAUAAGUUAAUAUAAUAGAAUACAUUUAUUUUAUAUUUGAAAUAUAACUUUGAAUAAUAUUAGAUAUGAAUUUUUUUAAAUCCUUACCUUGAAUAGAACCAAAUUUUAAUUGAACUGUUUCCAGUUGUUCAUUUGAUGAAGACAUUGUAUAGUUGUAAAUUCAAUUAAUUUAAUAAAAUAAAACAAAAUUUUAAAUUUUAUAUAAUAUAAUAUAUAAUAUUUAAAUAUAAUAAUUUAAAUGUCAUUAAACGAUUAUGUGAUAAAGCAACUGUCAUGAUAGUGUGAUACUGAUAAUAAUAGUACUGAUAAGAGGCAAGUGAUAAAUGCGCAGUGAUAGCCGAUAGGAAAAAUUGUUUUUUUGCUGAUCAUAUUGUCUAUCAUGAUUAGACCCAUACAAGUAAAAACUAGAAAAGUGGAAACAGCUACAACUUAAGUUUUGAGCACGAACGUAAUUAACGGUUUCACGUUGGACUUAUUCAGACGUUCAGUCUCCAGUCUCUAUUUGCUCUUGUAAUAUUCCAGAUAGUACCUAUAGUGUUUCAUUAAAUCACUUUAAUUUUUGUUUACAAACAUGAACAAGACGGUGGCAUUAAGAAAUGGCAGUAAUAUAAUAAUUAUGAUUGCAAUGCUCUUUGGAGCUGGUGCUGCAAUAUGGGAACAUCGUGAAAAAUUGAAAGAGUUUUUUAAAAAAAUCUUAGGAAAAGAAAAGACAAAUCAAGAAGACCUAAUAGAACAGUUAAACUCAUUGCUUAAACAAAGAAUUGAAGAAGACAAAAAUUAAAUUAAGACAAUAGUAAAUGCCAUCAGAAGAUGAUAAACCUUUAAAGUAUAUUUUAUAUAUAUUUUUAUAUUUAUAACACUGAAUUCACUAAUUUUUAUAUUGCAUUAAGAACAUUUUUAUCAUACUUGAAAAUUAAAUAUUAGUUAUAUUGUACAUGGUACUUAAUUUGUUGUAACAUCUAGUAAAUAGUAAUUCAUUACAUUACAUUAAAGGCUAUAGUAUAAUGGCUAAUUGUGGAGCAUUGUCUAAUUCACUUUAGGUACUAUACAUUUUGUGUCUACUAGAUUACUCAAGUACUAAAAAUACAAGUAAAAGAUAUUAUUAACAAAUUAAUAAGUUAUGUCUUAUUAUAAAUGUAUACUGUUAUAAUUUAUAGUUUUGUACUUACGGCCUACCCAUCAGUUUUAUAAUACUUUAUAUUAUUAUGUAUUUGAAUUUUAAUAGCUUAUGAUCAUUUGCUUUAAUGUUACACUAGGAAACUAAAAGUAUGCAAAUAAAAAUAAGUAUUGUCAUUUGCCAUAUAAAUUAAAAUACAUUCAGCCUUCAGGUAGUUUAUUUUAAGUGAAUUCAUAAAUGUAAAAAGUUCUAUCACAACCUAGUUUUGUUGCCACUAAAUAUUAGGAUUUUUUUAGGUUGAUACAAAAGUUUUGUGUUGAGAGUUCCACCACUCCACCAAUAUAUGGAAACACUGAGCAUCGAUCUACAAGUUGUAUGAGGGUUAUUGCAAAUAAAAAUUAUUUAGUGACUAAAGAAUAAGCCUUAUUAAGUAUUAACUGUAAUUACUAUAACAAUAAUAAUGAUAAUUAAUAGGUAAUAAUAACAUAACACAGUGGCGUAGCCAGGAAUUUUGUAUGGAGAGCCUAAGUAAACCAAUACAAUAUGUCUUUUAUUUACA